Molecule: small nuclear RNA, 110 nt
Filed under: Suricata suricatta (meerkat)
Lineage: Eukaryota; Metazoa; Chordata; Mammalia; Carnivora; Herpestidae
Description: U5 spliceosomal RNA (ENSSSUG00005018006.1)
Rfam family: U5 spliceosomal RNA
About the family: U5 RNA is a component of both types of known spliceosome. The precise function of this molecule is unknown, though it is known that the 5' loop is required for splice site selection and p220 binding, and that both the 3' stem-loop and the Sm site are important for Sm protein binding and cap methylation.
Source: Rfam by way of RNAcentral
ACUCUGGUUUCUCUUUAGAUCGCAUAAAUCUUUCGCCUUUUACUAGAGAUUUCUGUGUAAAAAAAAAAAAACGGACCUGUAUGGUUAGGUAUGUGAUUAAACAAGUACAA